This is a long non-coding RNA of Cavia porcellus (domestic guinea pig), 2975 nucleotides long. RefSeq lists it as uncharacterized. The record is from RefSeq and is a predicted model, not a curated record. The transcript has 3 exons. Lineage: Eukaryota; Metazoa; Chordata; Mammalia; Rodentia; Caviidae.
CCCAAUCACUGCCUAUCAGUGCGAAAUAAACCUGCCCCCAAGCCCUGGGUGACUUUUCAGUGUUUCUGCUUGCUAUUGCAUGAGUUUCCAAGAAGGUUCAAUCCAUCUUGUCUAGAGAUAUCAAGAAAUGCCUCCUGGAGAAGAAAUGCAGAGAUGCAGGAUGGGAAGGUGUGCCUCGAGACCCAGAGUGGAUGAAAGAUGCCAGGCAGCAGUCAAAACAGGAUCUAUAGGACCAAGCUCAGCCGACUCUCUGUGGCAGAGGAGCAGAGCCAAGUCAGCGUGUCCAUGUGGGGCUGCAGGGUCCUCUGUGUUGGUGGGAAGAAUCAAAGCCCGUUAUGUGAGGUCCAGAAGAGCAGAGACGUCACUGGCCUUGCUCCCUGUGUGUUCCCGUGUCUGGAAGAGUGCUGGUGCAGAGCUGGUGCUCUGGAAGCUUUUGUGAGCGAACGCCUAAGUGCUCAGUAUCCAUUCAUCUUUGGGAUGUCGAUAGGGUAUCCUAUUGGGUAUUGAGGAGCCUUCACUGAGGGCAUUCCUCCUCCAUGCAGCCCUUCACACUGUGAUCUCAUGUAGCACAUAAGGUAAGAAGAAGGUGCAUAGAAAAUCCACAGCUCACCCUUGCUGCAGGCAGUACAGUCAAUGAAAUGAAUAGCUGACCAGAACGCCAGCUCUCUCCUUUCCCUACUGAGCUACACAAGUGACCUUGCACGCCUUUAAAUGCAUGUGCUAAGCCUCCUAUUAGCAAGAUUGCACAUGCAAGUACUGCUGGCUGGGCAGGUGCAGGUUCAGGUGGGCAGGUGCAGGUGGCCUCCACAGCCCCACCUGCGGCACCCCACCUGUGGGCUGAAGCACACCUGGCAAGUCUGCUCUGGAAAGGAGAGGGGACACAUGUUGCGUGUCAUAGGUCCCUGGAUUCCAAAAGAAGAUGGGAUGGAAGUGUCCAUUGUUUUAUUAAUUCCUAAUAUAAGCAAUAUAUUAGGAAUAUAUUGCCCCACAAGGGCAUUCAAAACGCUUAAAAUUUAGUAAAUUUGUAAAUAAGUAUCACGUCAUACUUUCAUUUCUAAAUAGACAGUACACCUCCUGGAUCAUAGUAGGUUCCUAAUAGGUAUUAGGCGAAUGAAUCUGUGGACUUUCUGUGUGUAUCCUGGUGAAGAGCAGCAGUGCUCAUAAGGAAGAACAAUCUCAUAUUGUCCACAUAGCAGAAUAAUGGCUAAUGCUUCGUAAAGCUCCCCCACCUGUGGCUUUCAAGUGCCCACAUGCACUUACCUUACUCAUCUUAACUCUCAGGGGUAGCACACCAGGCUCCCACAGUAACAGGCAAAAGUGCUAAAGCAGACUAGCUACCUGGGCUGGGGAAGGCCUCAGAGCUGUCUCUGGGCAGAGGCAGAAGCACCGCGCGAGCUUCGCAGCUGGCAGGCUGUCCUGGCCAACAGCCUGUGCCUUGUCCCCUCUCUCUGCAUUCGGUCAGACCUCUACCUCUGUGAUAGGAAAGCUUGGAGUGGACCAAAAAAGGUAUCUCAGUGCCGCACUCUCCUGGCACACAGUAUCCUAAACUCCCCACACACUUCGGAGAGGGUAUGAGGAGAUUUCCGGGUUGAACCUAGAACCUUGAACAUGCCAGGCCAGUCCUCUACCACCAAGCCACACUGUAGCCCUGAUACAGUUUCGGAGACACACCUGGAAGCUGCUUUUAUACACAGCACUGAGAAGACAGACUUUGCCUAGAGAAGCAGUAGCAUCCAAGGGAAUUUCUUUUUCUUUUCUUUUUUCAAUCAAGAAGCAAUUUGUUAUAUCAAGGCCAGGCCAUUUGAAGUGCUGAAAACCCCUCGUUCUCCAAGGUAUUCCUGGCAGAAGGUGCCUGCAGAUCUCAGGAGAGAAACUGCAGUUGUUAAUCUGCUGCUGCCCUGCGGAAUGUGAAUUGGCAGGACCAGAGGUCAGGAUGACAGGGGCUCCCUCUCAGAGUCGUUACCAGGCAGCUUGUGUUACUCAGGAGAGCUUUUAUUGUGCUCUUGCCUGUGAUGGCGCCCCUGGUCCUGGUCCCAGGUAUGUGUGAGCCAUGGAGAAGCAGUCCUUCAGCAGCAGUGUUAAAUGCCAUUCUAAAAUAAGAUGGCUCAAUUUUGAUGUGCAAACCAGCUGGGAAGCACAGGCAGCUCUGCCAUUGGCCCAGCCAUCCAGUGUGGAGGAAAAGACUUCAUCCACUGUGCGAACCCAGUCUCAGGAGCAGAGUCUCUAUCGAUCACAUCUCUGAGAGGGGAGAAGUCCCUAGGUUACACCUUUGGACCGCUGUCAUGUCCCAGGUGAUUUUCCCCUCGGUAUUCCCACCUUGCUGCCUUCCAUUUCCAUCAUUGCAAGGCAGUAUAAGAUGACCUCAUUUUCCUUUAUGUCUGCCAAGUCUUUAUGCACAUCAAAGAAUGGUGAGGCCAAAGAUCAUUCUAGAAAUUAUGAUGCUCAGUUAAAAAGUGGGAAUUUCUACCAAAGAGAAGGAGGCGGGAGGUGCAGAAUGAAGGCAUUGGAGGAAUAAAUGUCUGUAUUUAUCUCCUAACACACACAGCCGUAGCAAACAGGACUGUUCCACCCAUGUCCCUGAUUCUUUUAUGCACAUUUUAGUGCUGCAUAGCCUAACUUCAGGCAUACCCUCCCCCCAUCCCCCGGUCUGGAUGAUGGAAGGUUAUGGCAUGGGCAGGCAGCACAGCCAUACUUACUGUCCUCGCUGCCUCGUCCCACCAUCCAGCUGACCCCAGGUUCCAUCCUGCCGUUCUGCUUGAGGAUGUACUGGACUGUACAGCAGCUGCGCACAGCCUUACUCAUUUGGAGGCCCACAGCAUGUCACAUAGUGCGUCUGCACCACACAACUCUGUAAAUGUUGGGGAAUAAGACACGAAUGAAAUGCUCUAGAAAAGGAGGGUGUGGGGGGAGGAGAAGGGGAGAUCUGUUGUGUUUAGUAAAAAUAAACUAAGCUGGGGGCUGGGGAUUUAGCUCAG